UACGUAGGGUGCGAGCGUUAAUCGGAAUUACUGGGCGUAAAGCGUGCGCAGGCGGUUUUGUAAGCCAGAUGUGAAAUCCCCGGGCUUAACCUGGGAAUGGCAUUUGGGACUGCAAGGCUUGAGUGCGGCAGAGGAGACUGGAAUUCCUGGUGUAGCAGUGAAAUGCGCAGAUAUCAGGAGGAACACCUAUUGCGAAGGCAGCUCGCUGGGACGUAACUGACGCUGAGACGCGAAAGCGUGGGGAGCAAACAGG
RNAcentral lists this ribosomal RNA (253 nucleotides) under uncultured bacterium. RNAcentral's name for it is "partial 16S ribosomal RNA". It matches the Rfam family "Bacterial small subunit ribosomal RNA", at positions 524 to 776 of the family's 1533-position model. The record is from RNAcentral.